GAUGCCGGACAAAGCACUCUCAUUGCUAUUACCUCAACAUCGAAGGCAUGAAUUUUGCUGCUGAGAAGAGAUUCAUGACCCCAGACUACCUGGAGAUGAUGUGGAGGAGGCUUGAGUUCCUAGGAACUGUUUUGGAGCUGGGAUACAACUUCCUUUUCACGGUAUCUCACAUAAAAUCUUCUACUUUUUAUUUGUUUUCUCUAAGUUCCUAUCAGUGACAACCACUACCAUACAUGGUAGUCAUUUGUUACUCUAAUGUGUUCCUCAAUUUUCAUUCUUCUCUCAAAGAACAUCUAAACAAGUUUCAUAAUGGGAAAAUGAAAUCAUGCGAUCAUCUAUGAUAUCGGCAUAAGGACCUAAAUACUGCAUUUGAUUACAUUUCUUUCUUGGACAAAACAUUGGCAUGCAUGCAUUCUUGAUGCAUUUUGUUUUAUCAAUGAAUGGUGCACAUAUGGUGUAAAAAUCAUUUGAAAGUAAACCUCUUCUAUGUGCAUGGUCAUCUUUUUAACAUGUUCAACUUUGGCUGGCAGGACAUGGAUAUCAUGUGGUUCAGAAGUCCUUUCCAACACUUCUCCGGCGAUGCUCAUUUUAUGAUAGCUAGUGAUUUUUUCUAUGGGAAUUCUUCUGAUCUACACAAUUUGCCCAAUAAUGGAUUUGUCUAUGUGAAGUCUUGCGAACAAACAAUUGAAUUUUACAAGUACUGGUACCUUGCUCGGAAACUGUAUCCAGGGAAAAAUGAACAAACGGUAUUGAACAAAAUGAAAAAGGA
This 769-nucleotide long non-coding RNA is filed under the name Elaeis guineensis (African oil palm). RNAcentral's name for it is "long non-coding RNA (EGUI_LNC016932)". The record is from RNAcentral. Lineage: Eukaryota; Viridiplantae; Streptophyta; Magnoliopsida; Arecales; Arecaceae.